CCGUCACGGGGCCCAGAGGUCAGACACGGAAGCACCGGGACUCCGCCGAUCUGCAGUGAAGGUCUCCUCCGAGGGAGGCCGAAGGUCAGCUGCGGUUUGGGAGGGGACACGAGAGCACAUGGAUGAGGACAAAGGAAGGUUCUGGAGGUUCAGAAGUCCAAGAUCUAGGGACCACAUCUGAUGACGGCCUUCUUGCUGCUGGGGACUCUCUGCAGAAUCCUGAGUUACUAAGAGGGAAGCCACAACCAACCAUGACCCGAAGAGCAAGCCACAGAAGACGGAUAAGAAAGUCGUGAAAAGUGUCAAAAUUAAUAAGCAGGUUCACGUAGGCGGGUGAGGGGUGGCCAGGGUGGGGACAGAGGCCACGACUGGGUGCAUCACAGACCGUGACAUUCCAAAACACUCGCCGUGGUUCUUCUUUGUAUUUUCUCUAUCUUGGA
Molecule: long non-coding RNA, 440 nt
Organism: Lemur catta (Ring-tailed lemur)
Lineage: Eukaryota; Metazoa; Chordata; Mammalia; Primates; Lemuridae
Exons: 3
Source: RefSeq, a predicted model, not a curated record